GUGCAGCAGGCGCGAAACCUUCGCAAUGCGGGAAACCGCGACGAGGGGACUCCCAGUGCCUACGCUCAGCGUAGGCUGUUCCCGAGCCUAGAAAGCUCGGGGAGUAAGGGCUGGGUAAGACGGGUGCCAGCCGCCGCGGUAAUACCCGCAGCCCGAGUGGUGGCCACUAUUAUUGGGCCUAAAGCGUCCGUAGCCGGCCCGGUAAAUGCCUGGGUAAAUCGUGAGGCCUAACCUCACGAAUUCCGGGUAGACUGCCGGGCUAGGGACCGGAGGAGGGAGAGGGUACUCCAGGGGUAGGGGUGAAAUCCUGUAAUCCCUGGAGGACCACCGGUGGCGAAGGCGCUCUCCCUAGGACGGGUCCGACGGUGAGGGACGAAAGCCAGGGGAGCGAACCGGAUUAGAUACCCCU
Molecule: ribosomal RNA, 409 nt
Filed under: uncultured microorganism
Description: bacterial SSU rRNA
Rfam family: Archaeal small subunit ribosomal RNA
Source: RNAcentral